UACGACGGUGGCUAGCGUUGCUCGGAAUCACUGGGCGUAAAGCGCACGUAGGCGGAUUGCUACGUCAGGGGUGAAAUCCUGGAGCUCAACUCCAGAACUGCCUUUGAUACUGGCGAUCUCGAGUCCGGGAGAGGUGAGUGGAACUGCGAGUGUAGAGGUGAAAUUCGUAGAUAUUCGCAAGAACACCAGUGGCGAAGGCGGCUCACUGGCCCGGUACUGACGCUGAGGUGCGAAAGCGUGGGGAGCAAACAGG
This 253-nucleotide ribosomal RNA is filed under the name uncultured bacterium. RNAcentral describes it as "partial 16S ribosomal RNA". It matches the Rfam family "Bacterial small subunit ribosomal RNA", at positions 524 to 776 of the family's 1533-position model. The record is from RNAcentral.